AAUGUACGCGGACGGGUGAGUAACACGAACCUGCCUGUAAGACUGGGAUAACUCCGGGAAACCGGGGCUAAUACCGGAUGGUUGUUUGAACCGCAUGGAACAUAAAAGGUGGCUUCGGCUACCACUUACAGAUGGACCCGCGGCGCAUCUAGUUGGUGAGGUAAUGGCUCACCAAGGCAACGAUGCGUAGCCGACCUGAGAGGGUGAUCGGCCACACUGGGACUGAGACACGGCCCAGACUCCUACGGGAGGCAGCAGGGAAUCUUCCGCGACGAAAGUCUGACGGAGUUGAUCAUGCAACGCCGCGUGAGUGAUGAAGGUUUUCGGAUCGUAAAGCUCUGUUGUUAGGGAAGAACAAGUACCGUUCGAAUAGGGCGGUACCUUGACGGUACCUAACCAGAAAGCCACGGCUAACUACGUGCCAGCAGCCGCGGUAAUACGUAGGUGGCAAGCGUUGUCCGGAAUUAUUGGGCGUAAAGGGCUCGCAGGCGGUUAAGUCUGAUGUGAAAGCCCCCGGCUCAACCGGUUUGUACGGAGGGUCAUUGGAAACUGGGGAACUUGAGUGCAGAAGAGGAGAGUGGAAUUCCACGUGUAGCGGUGAAAUGCGUAGAGAUGUGGAGGAACACCAGUGGCGAAGGCGACUCUAACGUUGGUCUGGUCUGUAACUCGCUGAGGAGCGAAAGCGUGGGGAGCGAACAGGAUUAGAUACCCUGGUAGUCCACGCCGUAAACGAUGAGUGCUAAGUGUUAGGGGGUUCCCCUUAGUGCUGCAGCUAACGCAUACUCCGCCUGGGGAGUACGGUCGCAAGACUGAAACUCAAAGGAAUUGACGGGGGCCCGCACAAGCGGUGGAGCAUGUGGUUUAAGGACUGUUUCGAAGCAACGCGAAGAACCUUACCAGGUCUUGACAUCCUCUGACAAUCCUAGAGAUAGGACGUCCCCUUCGGGGGCAGAGUGACAGGUGGUGCAUGGUUGUCGUCGGAUCAUGUCGUGUCGGAUGUUGGGUUAAGUCCCGCAACGAGCGCAACCCUUGAUCUUAGUUGCCAGCAUUCAGUUGGGCACUCUAAGGUGACUGCCGGUGACAAACCGGAGGAAGGUGGGGAUGACGUCAAAUCAAUGCCCCUUAUGACCUGGGCUACACACGUGCUACAAUGGACAGAACAAAGGGCAGCCCAUGUCGAAA
Molecule: ribosomal RNA, 1182 nt
Filed under: Bacillus subtilis
Lineage: Bacteria; Bacillati; Bacillota; Bacilli; Caryophanales; Bacillaceae
Description: bacterial SSU rRNA
Rfam family: Bacterial small subunit ribosomal RNA
Source: RNAcentral